AGGUCAUUUCAAAGAGGGCAGGUGGGGAUGUGAAAACAAAAGCUCUCACCUCUGUAACUGAAGACUGAAAUUCUCUACAGGAGGCCACGGUCACUCAUGUGCUAUGUUGUGUGCUGUGUUUUCUUGAGGAGAGAGAAAA
Nannospalax galili (Upper Galilee mountains blind mole rat) is the source of this 139-nucleotide small nucleolar RNA. The record is from Ensembl. NCBI's taxonomy places the organism in Eukaryota, Metazoa, Chordata, Mammalia, Rodentia, Spalacidae.